This 482-nucleotide ribosomal RNA is filed under the name uncultured bacterium. Its description in RNAcentral is "bacterial SSU rRNA". It matches the Rfam family "Bacterial small subunit ribosomal RNA", at positions 505 to 990 of the family's 1533-position model. The record is from RNAcentral.
GUGCCAGCCGCCGCGGUAAUACGUAGGGUGCGAGCGUUGUCCGGAAUUACUGGGCGUAAAGAGCUCGUAGGUGGUUUGUCGCGUCGUCUGUGAAAUUCCGGGGCUUAACUCCGGGCGUGCAGGCGAUACGGGCAUAACUUGAGUGCUGUAGGGGAGACUGGAAUUCCUGGUGUAGCGGUGAAAUGCGCAGAUAUCAGGAGGAACACCGAUGGCGAAGGCAGGUCUCUGGGCAGUAACUGACGCUGAGGAGCGAAAGCAUGGGUAGCGAACAGGAUUAGAUACCCUGGUAGUCCAUGCCGUAAACGGUGGGCGCUAGGUGUGGGGUCUUCCAGACUUCUGUGCCGUAGCUAACGCAUUAAGCGCCCCGCCUGGGGAGUACGGCCGCAAGGCUAAAACUCAAAGGAAUUGACGGGGCCCGCACAAGCGGCGGAGCAUGUGGAUUAAUUCGAUGCAACGCGAAGACCUUACUGGCUUGACAUACG